UUUAUGGAGAGUUUGAUCCUGGCUCAGAGUGAACGCUGGCGGCGUGCCUAAUACAUGCAAGUCGAACGAUGAAGCUUCUAGCUUGCUAGAAGUGGAUUAGUGGCGCACGGGUGAGUAACGCAUAGAUAACAUGCCCUUUAGUCUGGGAUAGCCACUGGAAACGGUGAUUAAUACUAGAUACUCCCUACGGGGGAAAGAAUUUCGCUAAAGGAUUGGUCUAUGUCCUAUCAGCUUGUUGGUGAGGUAAUGGCUCACCAAGGCUAUGACGGGUAUCCGGCCUGAGAGGGUGAACGGACACACUGGAACUGAGACACGGUCCAGACUCCUACGGGAGGCAGCAGUAGGGAAUAUUGCUCAAUGGGGGAAACCCUGAAGCAGCAACGCCGCGUGGAGGAUGAAGGUUUUAGGAUUGUAAACUCCUUUUGUUAGAGAAGAUUAUGACGGUAUCUAACGAAUAAGCACCGGCUAACUCCGUGCCAGCAGCCGCGGUAAUACGGAGGGUGCAAGCGUUACUCGGAAUCACUGGGCGUAAAGAGUGCGCAGGCGGGUAAUUAAGUCAGAUGUGAAAUCCUAUAGCUUAACUAUAGAACUGCAUUUGAAACUGAUUAUCUAGAGUGUGGGAGAGGUAGGUGGAAUUCUUGGUGUAGGGGUAAAAUCCGUAGAGAUCAAGAGGAAUACUCAUUGCGAAGGCGACCUACUGGAACAUUACUGACGCUCAUGCACGAAAGCGUGGGGAGCAAACAGGAUUAGAUACCCUGGUAGUCCACGCCCUAAACGAUGAAUGCUAGUUGUUGUGGAGCUUGUCUCUGCAGUAAUGCAGCUAACGCAUUAAGCAUUCCGCCUGGGGAGUACGGUCGCAAGAUUAAAACUCAAAGGAAUAGACGGGGACCCGCACAAGCGGUGGAGCAUGUGGUUUAAUUCGAAGAUACGCGAAGAACCUUACCUAGGCUUGACAUUGAUAGAAUCCGCUAGAGAUAGUGGAGUGCCCCUUUGGGGAGCUUGAAAACAGGUGCUGCACGGCUGUCGUCAGCUCGUGUCGUGAGAUGUUGGGUUAAGUCCCGCAACGAGCGCAACCCUCGUCCUUAGUUGCUAGCAGUUCGGCUGAGCACUCUAAGGAGACUGCCUUCGUAAGGAGGAGGAAGGUGAGGACGACGUCAAGUCAUCAUGGCCCUUACGCCUAGGGCUACACACGUGCUACAAUGGGAAGUACAAAAAGAUGCAAUAUCGCGAGGUGGAGCAAAUCUUAAAAACUUCUCUCAGUUCGGAUUGUAGUCUGCAACUCGACUACAUGAAGCUGGAAUCGCUAGUAAUCGCAAAUCAGCCAUGUUGCGGUGAAUACGUUCCCGGGUCUUGUACUCACCGCCCGUCACACCAUGGGAGUUGUAUUCGCCUUAAGUCGGGAUACUAAAUUGGUUACCGCCCACGGCGGAUGCAGCGACUGGGGUGAAGUCGUAACAAGGUAACCGUAGGUGAACCUGCGGUUGGAUCACCUCCUUUCUA
Molecule: ribosomal RNA, 1500 nt
Filed under: Helicobacter marmotae
Lineage: Bacteria; Pseudomonadati; Campylobacterota; Epsilonproteobacteria; Campylobacterales; Helicobacteraceae
Description: bacterial SSU rRNA
Rfam family: Bacterial small subunit ribosomal RNA
Source: RNAcentral